Molecule: long non-coding RNA, 2802 nt
Organism: Oncorhynchus nerka (sockeye salmon)
Lineage: Eukaryota; Metazoa; Chordata; Actinopteri; Salmoniformes; Salmonidae
Exons: 2
Source: RefSeq, a predicted model, not a curated record
UCAAAUGUUCCCACGGUAUAGUGAAGGAAAUAUCAGUGAAGUUAUGUUUAAUGUCAUUUAUUUUAGUAGCCAAAAACGUGAAUAUCGAUACUCUUUAAAGAUGUUCCAGUCUUAGUUUUCCAGCCAGGCAAAACCAUGGAGUCUUUUUUCUUACUGACCUCUGCUUCUCGCGGCAAUAACUCACGACAGUAACGAACAAUCGGCGGAAAUACCUCAAAAUAAAAUCCAUCCUCCCGAAGCACGAGCUCUGACUCUGUCCGCGAGGAAAAACAUAUCCGUCCGUGACAGCACUAUAAUACCGUCCACAAAAACCAAGAACAUCUUUCUCUCCUCUUUCCCUCUUGCAUCCUCUCGUUGGCAAAUGUCUAGAAAGCCCCGACUCCACUCACGGAAAGUGGGGUGAAGCGCGCAAUCGUUGUAUGGCCAGACCGGGGCUCCGGUUUUUUCUUCGUGCCAUAACACUGUAUUAUGCGCCCUGCUCACGUGACACAACGUCAACUUAAAUCCCUUUUAUUUGAGCCUGUGAAUCAUUAAUGGAGGCAGUCAUUGCCCCUGAGGAGAAACGGAUCACUUUGGAGGGAGGAUAAAGAGGGUGGAUGACACUGCAAUGUAUCUGACAAAGGGACAUAUCUCUCGCAAUGCCACUUUACAUUCACACGUCACCCGAUUCCAAAGCGUGUGUGUUCGGUCGGUUUUGGAGGCUUUCGAGUUGCGCAGCGGUCUAAGGCACUGCAACUCAAUGCUAGAAGUUUCACUACAUACUUUGAUUCGAUCCCGGGCUGUCUCACAAAAGGCCGUGAUCGGGAGUCCCAAGGGGCGGCGCACAAUUGGCUUAGCGUCGCCCGGGUUAGGGAGGGUUUGCCCGGAAUAGGCCAUCAUUGUAAAAUAAUAAUUUGUUCUUAACUGACUUGCAUAGGUAAAUAAAGGUUAAAUAUCUUUAGUGCCCAUUUAAGUAAACAGCGAGUUGCCAUAUACUGUGAUCAUUGGCCAGCUAGCCUUGAGCCACUGGCAGAGCAAGAAAAGCGUUUGCCGCUGCGGUGUGACUGCGAGAUACAGAGAGGUCUUUACGGGUGGCGGAUGGAUCACUCAACACCUGAGUCACCCCUUACUAUUUUAUUGAGAGAUAAGGCUGGGGCUAUUGUGUGCAGAGGCCCUCAUCAUCACCCCACAUCCCGAGCUAUAGUCUACAACCACUCACUCACACAUUCAGACAAUAGCCUACAUGCUGGCGGACCAAUGGAAAUCAAAUGUCUUAUAGUUAGUUACCUGUCCGAAUGCUGAGUUAAAGGUGUGCGCCCCGGUAGCCGGGAGGUGUGUGUGUGUGUGUGUCAGUCAGUCAGUCCUGAGCUGAGAGGGCAUAGUGCAUGCGGGAGCUCAUUGAACUGAAUAUUUACCCCCCUGGUCAGUGCAGGGACCCUCCAUUCAUCCUGCAGCUCUUAUGCAUUCCCUACGGCCAGUUGAGUAAUGCUGGAAAUCAUAGGUUCGCACAGAGGUCAUACUCAAUUCCCAGUAUGGGGAGGGGGAAGGAUCAGGUGGUAAUAUGGCAACUAGCCUACUUUUAUGAGAUGAGGGCCAACGACAAUAGUAAUCUUUGAAAUAAAUGCAUAUUCUCUUGCAAUCCAUAAUAGGUCCACAACUUAAAUUAUGAACGUAUUGUGGCGCACUACGUGAUAUCGUUUAGCCUUCCCGAGCAUUGCCUAAACCUUGACCGGAAGAGCAGCCCUUCUCUCCGCACCGUUUGGCGCUUGAUUUCCGUCAACACUGAGCAGCGGGCGUGGAAAUGUUCCUCCACCAUAACUAUUAAUCACGCCAAGCGGACAUGGAGCGCAUCCCCCUCCCACAUCACAGCACCCUUUGUCUUCUCAAACUACAACUUGAGCCGUUUAAACUUUUAAAACCUGAACAGGAGGGAACAAUCUCUUAUCAGUUUACAUUUCAGACCACUUUAUGGAUGAUUGGGAGUGAGGGGGCUAUGCAUUUAUUAUUUAUGUUGGAUUAGAAUGAAGGGGGAAUCAGAUUUGAUUCGCAUUAAUUCAUGUUCUAGUUUUUGUGAAGAGUUCGGCCAGAUUUGCAUACCACUCCACCAGCACGGAGGUGCUCUGCAUUGCAACAUCGUAGAUCGUCUGGGGCUGAGCUGACUGUGGACGGAAAACAGACCCUUUCUCCCACGCCACCUUUCGCCACCGCACCUGAACUUUUCCCUGACCCAAACCGAGGCGCGGAGAGUCGAGUGUGAAGUUAUUUUGGUUCAAAAACAAGGAGAGAAUGGAGACUAUAUAACCAAUAAGAGCUAUACCUUCCUUUUCAGCUGGGAACGUUUUGGAUCCUUGUUUUUAACGGGCUCUUGUUGGUUUCAGCAGUUGAUUAACCUAUUUAUUGGUUUGUAUGUAUACAUAUAUUAAAGUUAGUAACAUAAAGCUUGUAACCUAAAUCCAACUUCCAACAUUUAUCGGCCUUGAGCUGUAGACUUGAGCCGCAGACAGUCCUCUCCAGACCGCGCCGUCAUUGGAUGUUCACCAGACUGCGGUGCAUCUCCACAAUGUUGACAUUUGAAGCUCUUAACAGCGAGCCUUGGGUUACCGAUACACUCAGCAGAAGAUAACUCUUUCUCAGGGGUUUACAUCGGCCAACAUCAAGGCUAAUGCGAAAUUCAACGCCCUAAACUGGUUUGGCGUGCAUGCUAAAACAGAGAACCCUCGGUUGAUCUCGCUAUACUCUCCAUAACGGACGGACUUCUGUUGUGGUGGUGGUUUGUUUCAGUAUGUGCUGUAGAAAUAAAAUUGUAGUGGUAAUAAUGUUGAA